Long non-coding RNA from Alexandromys fortis (reed vole), 1722 nucleotides. RefSeq lists it as uncharacterized. The transcript has 3 exons. Lineage: Eukaryota; Metazoa; Chordata; Mammalia; Rodentia; Cricetidae. The record is from RefSeq and is a predicted model, not a curated record.
CCUGAGGCAGCAGCUGUACUUUCUGGCUUCUCCCACACAGGCGGAGGCAUGGGAGAGAACAGGAGCCCGGAGGCCCCAGCCGGACCCCAGGUGCUAGGCCUCAGCUAGCAGGAGCAGAGUGAGGAUUUACAGAGCAGAAUGUGAGCCCUGGCAGGGACCCCCGGGAUAUACGACAACUUCCUACAUAGUGUUCAGGACGCAUCAAAGUUUUAAUAAUUUCUCCGCAGUUCUGGUGGUGGGGUUGCUUCUUUUGUGAAAGAACUUUGAGAAAGGCCGUGCACUUGAUCCUGCAUCGGAGAAGCAAAGCACAUGCCAGCGUAUCCGAGACGGGGACCCCCCCCAGGAACCACCUGCUUACUGUAGUCUCCCCCAUCUUCAGCCUUGAUUUGUAGCAGUCCCGGUCUUGCUAACCAAGCACUUUCAGCUUUUCCAACUAGUUCAUUUUAUGAGUGAAAAAAACUGUGACAACUAAUUCAAUUUUUUGUUCCAUUUUGUUUUCUGGGUAUGCUGUGUGUGUGGUUUAUGUACUUGUCGGAGCUGUGCGUGUACGUGCUGACGUCAUGAGGGAUGUCUCUCGCACCCUGCUGCACCUGCCCUUAGGCAGGCUGGCUGGUCAGUGAGCUCCAGGGACCCUGCUGUCUCUGGCCCCUCCUUCCAGUGGUUACAGGCCUAAACCUGGCUUUUUACAUAGAUUCUGGGGAUUUGAACUCAGGUCCUCAUGUUUGCAAGACACUUUGGGAAUUGAGCCAUCUUUUCAGCCUCUCAAAAUUUUGAAACAAAGUUAAAAUACACUCAAAAAGUUUGGGUUAUUUAUCCCGUCAGUGCUGACAAAAAAAGCCGGCAAACUUUAAUACCCGUUAUUUUAUUUAUAACGUUAUUGUUUUACGAGCUGUGGGCUCUUGAUCAUUUGUCUUAAUUUCUUAAGUUUUUACCUCUUUUUUUCACUCUAAGAUCUUGACUUCCUGGAUGCAAGAGCACCUCCUGCCUCAGCCUUUGUAGUAGCGGCUGGCAUUGUAGACUUGAACCACCACACCUCUUUUGAGUUAGUUUCCUCUGACUCCCACCACCCGUCCUACUGUGGGCCUACUGACUAGAGAGCCAUCUCCCAUAGAACCAGCAGGUUAACCCUUCCAUGCUCUCUCCACAGAAUCUGUCAGUAAGUUUAGGAAAUGCCUUGUGGGCCACAAAGUUGCUUUGGGGGGGAAGUAAUUUCAGGUAGAGUUGGGCUUCCUCUCAGGAGAGUCAGCAAUUCAUUAUAACUUUUUAAAUUAGAAAAGUAAUGAGAGCAUUUCAGAAGUUGUGUAUGUGUGUAUGUGUGUGUGUGUGUGUGUAUGUAUGUAUGUGGGGGGACAAUGAAGAAACUAUUGGGGUGGCGUUUGCGUGGACUGGAUACCAUUUCUGGAGCCUGUCUUAUGUUAACUCUGAGUCCCCUGCUCCACAGCUCAGGAACCUAGAAAGAACAGUCUACACUGGCCAACAGGGGGUGAGCCGUGGCUAUUCCUCCUUAGAGGAGGUCACAGUCUAUCGUGGAAGCAAGUUAGACUCGGACUUCAGACAGGAGCCUGAGGCAGGAACUGAAGCUGAAACUGUGGGAAAAUGCUGCUUGCUGGCUUGCCAGAGGAGCAAAGAUGCUCACUGAGUCCUCAGACCUGCACCCCUGCAGAUGCUCACUGAGUCCUCAGACCUGCACCCCUGCAGAUGCUCACUGACACCUCAGACCUG